UCCAAAGCAUUUUCAUGGAUCGGCGUGAACGGAUUUGCCCCCUUCUCCGCCUCGCACCCAAGUGGAGCUACUCUCUGGCUCUUUACCAACAGCCUAAUCGCCUCAUUAGCAUAUCAACAAUAGUCCAAUUGCUCGCCAGCACCGCAAUCUGCGGCCGGCCGCUCCGACCCAGGUAUAAAGGCCUCUCCGAGCCGCGAACUUGCUCCUAGAGCGCACGCCUGCCUGCGAGCCGACGAAAUCUCCCCUGAGACCUGCCGUGCGCCCCGGCCCCGGCCACCCCCGGUCCCCGCCGCCGCACCAUUCCACCCCAGUCCUCUCCCCCUCCGUCUCCUCCUCCAGGGAGAUGCCGUCCGCAAGAACCCGGCGCUGUGCAGGGUCCGCGCCGCUGCGCCUGGGGCCCGCCUUUCAGCACCUCUCCCUCACCCCUGCCCGCGCUAACCGCGCUGUCCUUUCGGCCCCGUCCAAUUUUAUUAGAAAUUAUUAUCCCUUUCGCAAUUAAAUAUAAUCAUCAAACCGAGACCGGCAAAGUCACUCCAGGAUUUUUGCCCAACAAGAGAUCGCCUCCGCUCGCUGCAGCCACCACCUCGGGCCGCAGCGCCUUGGGAGUUUUAUUGGCUUUGCUCUUCCUAACCCCCACCCCCACCCCACUGCCCCCCACCCCAGGUUGAAGAUUUUGCCAAACGGCUCCAGUCGCUCGGCUGGGGUUUGCGAUCCUUUAAUUGGCCGCGUGUAAAAUAAAAAUUGUACCCUAAAGAGGUUAGUUGACAGCUCCAGGGGUUAAGUGAUUUUCCUCUCGUUUGUAUGAAGCUAGGGCUGACUGAUAAUUCAACGUGGUGUUUGGGCAAAGGGUUUCCUAGGUGCGGUGUGGACAAAAUACAGAACUGUGGAGACUCACAGCCGCUCCUGGAGUUGUGCCGAAAUAACCGACAUGUGUGCUCCGUGUCAUGCAUGCAUCAAAAUAAAUCGCUGGGAACCAACUCUUCGCUGCGCUAAUCUGCUCCAGUUUUCCCAAGAUCCCCCUUUUUAAUUAAAGCAGGGAGAGUUCCUUCAUGAUUUGGUGAUGUUACUAAAGCAGGCGCGCUGGCGGCGCAGUGCCCGGCUGAGGCGGAACCGGAGGCCCCGGGGCCACCUCCUAGUCCAGAUUGGCCAGUCCAGGCUUUUCCGCUCCACGCAGGGACCUGCUCGCCCCAGCGGGGAUUGAUAUAUAUAUUUUUUUCCUUCUGCUUUUAGUGAAUUGUUUUAAAGAAGAAAUUAUAAAGAAAGACGAGGUGUAAUCCUUUGAAAUACAGAGUAAUUAAUUUAUCUGGCUGAGCUGCUCAUUUGUCCUCCGUAAAAAAGUUUUUGUGUGGCUUUCUCCCUCCUGAAUACUGCAAAUGCACCAACGUGGGUCUGCCUCAGAGCUGCUCUGGUAACAACUUCUGGUUCCAUCUAGGCCUGUUUUUUUUUUUUUUUCCCCAAAUCUCCAGGCCUCCCAGGUCUCCAUAGCGUGUCCCUGCAGAAGGGUAAAGGCUGUUGCAAACCCGAGCAUUUCUUAACAGGUGGACGGAAGGCAAGAUGAGGGAGGACCACCUUCCCUCACCCCCCACUCACCCCCCAUUUGCAGAAGGGCAAUUCUCCUUCCGGACGACCACAGCAAAUUCUCCCAGCCAGGCAGAGUAGGCCAGAGGCCUCCCAAGAGUUAGGAAAAGGACUGGAGCUAGAAGGGGGACUUAGAGCAUAAGGGACACCCUCCCUGGGGCACUCCCUACACUCCUUUUCCCCACCUGAACACUAACACAGUUCUUUGGCUGAACACAGCCCCGGGGUCAGGCACCCCGCUCGACCCGGAAAACAGUCAACUUCCAGUGCUCUCACCACUCACCCUGAAGGGCAGCCCCGGGGCCCGCCGCCCAACACAGUGGCUUGAAGUCGGGAGAUGGGCCGCCGCGAGCAUUUACACCUUCGCAACCAGCGGCCACAGCCACAGAGCGUGAUCUGUAGGCCAAAUCCCAGGCCUGGGAGCAUGGGAUUUUUGCACCCUCAGACGUCGCCACAGUAUGCUUAAGGGAACUUCAAGUUUCGCUUUCUUUCAGCUUGUGGGCUGGGAAAGGCAUUCAAGGCUCAUCAUCUUCUCCACCCACCCCCAUCCCCCUUGCUGACCAGCGCCCUGCAGAUUUCUGGCUCCGCAACCACCAGGGCCGCUAAACUGUUGUUGUAUUCCUGCCGAGGGUGCCUUUGAGGUGCAGAUUGCGGCCUGCGGGCUCUGCACCACAGUCCAGAAUUCUGGGCAUUGAAGAAAGGCCCAGGCGAGCAGACCCCAGAGCCAGCCAGGCUGCGUUUCUGGGAACGUCAUUACCACGACAAGUCUCUUCAUUGCAUGUCAAUGCUCUGUCCCCACCAGCACCCCAGGACGGUAGCGCCAGGCCUAGGGAUAGAGGUUGGGGGUCCAGGCCUGAAGUGGGGGCGUGGAGAGGGUGUUGGAGGGAAAAAUGUGUAUCAGUGUGAGACAGAGACACAGAGAGAAACAAAGAGACAGUAAGAGGCCUGAAUGACUAUUUUCUCUGGUUGUCACCACUCAGUGGGACCCAAGAGCCCCACAGGCCAAGCCUGAAGGAUCCAGUCCCUCUAGGCCCCAAAUUCACAUGCCCCACCCGAGAGGCAGGCUUCCCACCGCUUGCCAAACUGUGAGCCCUCAGGAGCCAGGCCCAGGGUUCACUCCUUUCCCCCUUGGGCCAGAAUCUCACUGCUUCCCACCUGUAGGCCCUUGGGAGGCUCAGACCCAGUACGAUCCUGUGCUGCUGGUGCCUUCUCAGACCCAAGGAGUUCUGCCGCGAGGUCCACUCAGUUUGUGGAGAUAACUGCAAAGAUCUAAGCCAAAGAACUUCCCCAGUCUACACUUUCCAGAGACCAGAGGGGAGAAGGGCCCUGAGGCCGACCAGGGCCGUGGAGGGGAAAGGUACAGAUCCCCGACAUCUGUGUUUGGUGUGGGAUCUGCAUCCUUAAACCACAAAGUCACUCAGACUUUGGGGAUGAAGUUGUAUUUUAGUGAGGUUUCACCGGGAGGAGAGGUAUAAAAGAACUUUAGGGCUAAUAAAAAUAAUAAAUACAAGGAGAGAAAUAAAAACUGCAAGAUGAUUUCCUUUCCCCGACUCCAAAGAAUGUAGUGAAGACCAGCCUUCUCGGAACUUUACUUCUAAUGGCACAAGACACAAGAAAAAGAACCCCCACCCAGAAAGAGCAGAGCCUCAACUUCUCCCCGAAUUCAGUUCAAAUCGCCCUGCAGGCUUUUAGGCUCACAGAAUCUCACCCUAACCAGGCCUCACUUGGCCAGGGGUGGGGGGGGGGAAGAGGGCCCCCGCCAUUCCCAUUAUAAAAUCAGCCACCGAGGAGAGGCUCUUCCCCUCACCGGCCUUGCCAGAGCUUCCCUGGUUUCCGCAGGGAAAAUGUCUGGAAGCUAGGAGAGGGCCAGGAGAAUGCUCCCGGGGCCCGGGUGGGGUCAGGACUCCAGGAAGGCAGGAUCAAGGGCCCAGUUGGCCUUGUGGUACCCGCGGCCUAAGCAAGGCCCAGUUGGGCAGACGUCGGUUUCGGCGAAUUUCGGACCUGCCCUACCAACCCGCCGUUCACCCCUCAUCCAGUCACCCCAACCUAUAGCCCAAGCGGCGAAAACUGGCUUCACGACUCGCGCGGACCGAGCGAGACGCUAAACUUUGUGCAAACUCCUGUAAGGAAUGUCUGGUGUUGAUAGAAAUGACCUUCAAGGCCCUGAUUCUGGUGGUGCUAGAGAGACGUCUCUUGGAUCUAAUGUUGAUGUUUUGUUGGUGACUGUUUCCCACAAAUGAGCUCAACCUCCACUGAAACCUAGAAGAAAACCAAAAAACGUUUUGGUUGUUAUUGUCUGAGGAUAGAAGGAAUGCAAUGUCUGGAGCUGCUGCAGCCACCUUGUGACCAUGGAGGAAGCUCCCACAUGCAAGGAACAGCUGAGUGGAAAGAUGGAAAUAAUUCUAGUCUUUGAUGAUCUUAUUAAGCUGCCAGAUUCAAUGACUCUAUAGCUUUUCCUACCUCAGGACUUAAUAUGUAUGUGAGUAGAGCACAUUUAAUUUAGUUGGAGCCAAAAAAAAAAUUAGUUGGAGCCACAAUCAUCCUGAUAAAUUGGUAGUUCCAGAAAUAAAAGUAGGCACACAUAUAUUAUAUGGGAUUCCUUGAACCAUGUGCAUGGAAAUCCUGGGAUCCCAUGGAAUUCUGCUAGUAUUCUAUAGGGCUGAUAGAAAUAGGAUUCUGUAAUGGGUAUGUAUGUGUUUACAUUGGAAAGUGUGUGAAGAUAUAAAUUCAGAAUGUUACUCCUUUCACUUUUGUCUUCAAACUAAAGCAGUCCAUCCAUUUGCAAAUAUAAAACAAAGGCUGGGGCAGAGAUAACCUACAAGUGGAAAAUUUCUUAUUUGACCUGAAUAAGAUUAAACCUAAAGAAAAAGACAUUUUUCUUACAAUUCAUACAAAUCCCUAAACUGUCAUAAUAUAUACAAUUGUAAUUUUUUAAAGAAUUUCUUUUUUGUUUUAAGAUUUUUAAAAAAUGUAUUUAUUCAUGAGAGACAGAGAGGUAGAGGCAUAGGCAGAGGGAGAAGCAGGCUCCCUCCAGGGAGCUUGAUGCGGGACUCGAUCCCAGGACCCCAGGAUCACAACCAAGCCAAAGGCAGAUGCUCAACCUCCGAGCCACCCUCAACUGCUGAGCCACCCAGGCGUCCCUGUACAAUUGUAAUUUAUCACUGUCAUCUUCCAAGUGAUUAUUAGUGGUAUAGACUUCAUUACCAUUGCCUUGAAAUGUAAAUCAUUAAACUGUUACCAUCAUAUCAA
Long non-coding RNA from Nyctereutes procyonoides (raccoon dog), 4827 nucleotides. RefSeq lists it as uncharacterized. The record is from RefSeq and is a predicted model, not a curated record. The transcript has 4 exons. NCBI's taxonomy places the organism in Eukaryota, Metazoa, Chordata, Mammalia, Carnivora, Canidae.